CUAGCCGUAAACGAUGGAUACUAGGCGUUGUGAGUAUCGACCCUCACAGUGUCGUAGCUAACGCAUUAAGUAUCCCGCCUGGGGAGUACGCGCGCAAGCGUGAAACUCAAAGGAAUUGACGGGGGCCCGCACAAGCGGUGGAGUAUGUGGUUUAAUUCGAUGCAACGCGAAGAACCUUACCAGGACUUGACAUGUCGCGAAUCUCAGGGAAACUUGAGAGUGCCUUCGGGAGCGCGAACACAGGUGGUGC
This 250-nucleotide ribosomal RNA is filed under the name uncultured Chroococcidiopsis sp. RNAcentral describes it as "partial 16S ribosomal RNA". It matches the Rfam family "Bacterial small subunit ribosomal RNA", at positions 796 to 1044 of the family's 1533-position model. The record is from RNAcentral. Lineage: Bacteria; Bacillati; Cyanobacteriota; Cyanophyceae; Chroococcidiopsidales; Chroococcidiopsidaceae.